This 261-nucleotide ribosomal RNA is filed under the name uncultured archaeon. RNAcentral describes it as "partial 16S ribosomal RNA". It matches the Rfam family "Archaeal small subunit ribosomal RNA", at positions 748 to 1009 of the family's 1478-position model. The record is from RNAcentral.
UAGCCGUAAACGAUACUCGCUAGGUGUCGGCCACGGUGCGACCGUUGUCGGUGCCGUAGGGAAGCCGUGAAGCGAGCCACCUGGGAAGUACGGCCGCAAGGCUGAAACUUAAAGGAAUUGGCGGGGGAACACAACAACGGGUGGAGCUUGCGGUUUAAUUGGAUUCAACGCCGGAAAUCUUACCGGGACCGACAGCAACAUGAAGGCCAAGCUGAAGACUUUGCCGGAUUAGCUGAGAGGAGGUGCAUGGCGUAGUCGUGU